RNAcentral lists this ribosomal RNA (914 nucleotides) under Capnodiales sp. BN-Lon33-1. RNAcentral's name for it is "eukaryotic LSU rRNA". It matches the Rfam family "Eukaryotic large subunit ribosomal RNA", at positions 1 to 938 of the family's 3401-position model. The record is from RNAcentral. Lineage: Eukaryota; Fungi; Ascomycota; Dothideomycetes; Capnodiales.
UUGACCUCGGAUCAGGUGGGGAUACCCGCUGAACUUAAGCAUAUCAAUAAGCGGAGGAAAAGAAACCAACAGGGAUUGCCCUAGUAACGGCGAGUGAAGCGGCAAAAGCUCAGAUUUGAAAUCUGGCGUCUUCGGCGUCCGAGUUGUAAUCUGUAGAGGAUGCUUUUGGGUAGCCACCGGUCUAAGUCCUCUGGAACGGGGCGUCAUAGAGGGUGAGAAUCCCGUAUGUGACCGGAAGGGCGCCCUACACAUAGCUCCUUCGACGAGUCGAGUUGUUUGGGAAUGCAGCUCUAAAUGGGAGGUAAAUUCCUUCUAAGGCUAAAUACCGGCCAGAGACCGAUAGCGCACAAGUAGAGUGAUCGAAAGAUGAAAAGCACUUUGGAAAGAGAGUUAAAAAGCACGUGAAAUUGUUGAAAGGGAAGCGCUUGCAACCAGACUUGUUGGCAGUGUUCCGCCGGUCUUCUGACCGGUCUACUCACUGUCUGCAGGCCAGCAUCAUCUGGGGCCGCCGGAUAAAAGCUUUGGGAAUGUGGCUCCCUCGGGAGUGUUAUAGCCCUUUGCGUAAUACGGCGUGUCUCGGGUGAGGUCCGCGCUUCGGCUAGGAUGCUGGCGUAAUGGUCGUAAGCGGCCCGUCUUGAAACACGGACCAAGGAGUCUAACAUCUAUGCGAGUGUUCGGGUGUCAAACCCCUACGCGUAAUGAAAGUGAACGGAGGUGGGAACCUUAGGGUGCACCAUCGACCGAUCCUGAUGUCUUCGGAUGGAUUUGAGUAAGAGCAUAGCUGUUGGGACCCGAAAGAUGGUGAACUAUGCCUGGAUAGGGUGAAGCCAGAGGAAACUCUGGUGGAGGCUCGCAGCGGUUCUGACGUGCAAAUCGAUCGUCAAAUUUGGGUAUAGGGGCGAAAGACUAAUCGA